CUGGGAGGCCUCAGUGUCUCCUCUCCUUUGGGAGAACGGAAGGACGCCUGCGGCCUACGUGUCACGCCAGAGAACCAAAGAAGUGAAGUUUUGCUCCAGGUGAAAAAGCUACUUGAUGACAAGGUCAAAUCUGCUGAUUACCAGUCCAGUGCUCUUCCCAAUAAACCACACUAUCCCUCAU
Molecule: long non-coding RNA, 181 nt
Organism: Bubalus bubalis (water buffalo)
Lineage: Eukaryota; Metazoa; Chordata; Mammalia; Artiodactyla; Bovidae
Exons: 2
Source: RefSeq, a predicted model, not a curated record